This is a long non-coding RNA of Carassius auratus (goldfish), 422 nucleotides long. RefSeq lists it as uncharacterized. The transcript has 3 exons. The record is from RefSeq and is a predicted model, not a curated record. Lineage: Eukaryota; Metazoa; Chordata; Actinopteri; Cypriniformes; Cyprinidae.
GUAGAGUGUUGAGCUAUUCUCUGUUCCUCUACAAACUACUGAUGUGCCCAGAAUCACAGCCGAUUCUCACCUCUUAUAUGAUGAUGUGGGGAAAUCUGUCCUUCUGCUAAAAAAUAAACUUGAGGAAGUCUCCACAGAUUUGACAGGAAUGAUAUCUAAUAGAGUGCAAAAUAUAAAGAUCUUUUCCACUUCUGGGGAGAGCAUAAAAACACCACAGCCACGGCCCAGGUCCACAACACUACCAGUGCCACCAUCUGGUAACAACCCAAUGCCAUUACCAACUAGGCCACAUAAUGAAUUGCCACGAAACAGACCCUUUUCAGGUUCAAAAUAUUGGCAUUCCUUAGGAUAAGGGUAACAGUCAAGACCCUCUGCAUUGCCAGGAUCAUGUGUCAGACCCUGCACAGCAAUACUUUGUGUUU